UGGGGAAUUUUGGACAAUGGGGGAAACCCUGAUCCAGCCAUCCCGCGUGUGCGAUGAAGGCCUUCGGGUUGUAAAGCACUUUUGGCAGGAAAGAAACGUCAUGGGUUAAUACCCCGUGAAACUGACGGUACCUGCAGAAUAAGCACCGGCUAACUACGUGCCAGCAGCCGCGGUAAUACGUAGGGUGCAAGCGUUAAUCGGAAUUACUGGGCGUAAAGCGUGCGCAGGCGGUUCGGAAAGAAAGAUGUGAAAUCCCAGAGCUCAACUUUGGAACUGCAUUUUUAACUACCGGGCUAGAGUGUGUCAGAGGGAGGUGGAAUUCCGCGUGUAGCAGUGAAAUGCGUAGAUAUGCGGAGGAACACCGAUGGCGAAGGCAGCCUCCCGGGAUAACACUGACGCUCAUGCACGAAAGCGUGGGGAGCAAACAGG
This 429-nucleotide ribosomal RNA is filed under the name Acidobacteriota bacterium. Its description in RNAcentral is "Acidobacteria bacterium partial 16S ribosomal RNA". It matches the Rfam family "Bacterial small subunit ribosomal RNA", at positions 355 to 776 of the family's 1533-position model. The record is from RNAcentral. Lineage: Bacteria; Pseudomonadati; Acidobacteriota.